This 520-nucleotide ribosomal RNA is filed under the name uncultured bacterium. Its description in RNAcentral is "bacterial SSU rRNA". It matches the Rfam family "Bacterial small subunit ribosomal RNA", at positions 29 to 526 of the family's 1533-position model. The record is from RNAcentral.
AAUGAACGCUGGCGGCGUGCCUAACACAUGCAAGUCGAACGAGAACGGAGGGCUUCGGCCUUCUUAGUAAAGUGGCGCACGGGUGAGUAACGCGUGGGUAAUCUACCCUGAAGUCUGGGAUAACGUUCCGAAAGGAGCACUAAUACCGGAUGAGACCACAGGGACUUCGGUCCAAGGGGUCAAAGGUCCUUCACGGGACUGCUUUGGGAUGAGCCUGCGUGACAUUAGAUUGAUGGUGGGGUAAUGGCCUACCAUAUUGUCUACGAUGUCUAGCUGGUCUGAGAGGAUGAUCAGCCACACUGGGACUGGAACACGGCCCAGACUCCUACGGGAGGCAGCAGUGAGGAAUUUUGCGCAAUGGGGGCAACCCUGACGCAGCAACGCCGCGUGAGUGAUGAAGGCCUUUUGGUUGUAAAGCUCUGUCGCCCGGAAAGAAACCUAUGGAUAGGAAAUGAUUCAUAGCUGACGGUACCGGGAAAGGAAGGACCGGCUAACUCCGUGCCAGCCGCCGCAGUAAAAC